Molecule: ribosomal RNA, 253 nt
Filed under: uncultured bacterium
Lineage: Bacteria
Description: partial 16S ribosomal RNA
Rfam family: Bacterial small subunit ribosomal RNA
Source: RNAcentral
UACGUAGGGUCCGAGCGUUGUCCGGAAUGAUUGGGCGUAAAGCGUCCGCAGGUGGCUAUGUAAGUCUGCUGUUAAAGAGUGAGGCUCAACCUCAUAAGAGCAGUGGAAACUACAUGGCUAGAGUGCGUUCGGGGCAGAGGGAAUUCCUGGUGUAGCGGUGAAAUGCGUAGAGAUCAGGAAGAACACCGGUGGCGAAAGCGCUCUGCUAGGCCGCAACUGACACUCAUGGACGAAAGCUAGGGGAGCGAAUGGG